RNAcentral lists this ribosomal RNA (464 nucleotides) under uncultured bacterium. RNAcentral's name for it is "partial 16S ribosomal RNA". It matches the Rfam family "Bacterial small subunit ribosomal RNA", at positions 28 to 507 of the family's 1533-position model. The record is from RNAcentral.
GACGAACGCUGGCGGCGUGCCUAACACAUGCAAGUCGAGCGAAUGAAGUUCCUUCGGGAAUGGAUUUAGCGGCGGACGGGUGAGUAACACGUGGGCAACCUGCCUCAUAGAGGGGAAUAGCCUCCCGAAAGGGAGAUUAAUACCGCAUAAGAUUGUAGUACCGCAUGAUGCAGCAAUUAAAGGAGCAAUCCGCUAUGAGAUGGGCCCGCGGCGCAUUAGCUAGUUGGUGAGGUAAUGGCUCACCAAGGCGACGAUGCGUAGCCGACCUGAGAGGGUGAUCGGCCACAUUGGGACUGAGACACGGCCUAGACGCCUACGGGAGGCAGCAGUGUGUAAUAUUGCACCAUCGUGGAAACACUGAUGCAGCAGCGCCGCGUGAGAGAUGACGGCCUUCGGGUAGUAACGCUCUGUCUUCAGGUACGAUAAUGACGGUACCUGAGGAGGAAGCCACGGCUAACUACGUG